This is a long non-coding RNA of Anthonomus grandis grandis, 537 nucleotides long. RefSeq lists it as uncharacterized. NCBI's taxonomy places the organism in Eukaryota, Metazoa, Arthropoda, Insecta, Coleoptera, Curculionidae. The record is from RefSeq and is a predicted model, not a curated record. The transcript is spliced from 4 exons.
GUAGAUACUUGAAAAUGAACUAAAACAGGACUGUCUUACUAAAAAUCCAGGAAUUUUGAAUGUUUCUUACUAAUUUAGCACAAGAAUGGGAAAACGAGUGUAGAUACCUGAAAAUGAACUAAAACAGGACUGUCUUACUAAAAAUCCAGGAAUUUUGAAUGUUUCUUACUAAUUUAGCACAAGAAUGGGAAAACGAAUAUGGAUACAUGAUAAUUAAUUAAUUAGAACUGAUACAUUGGAAAUCCUGUAGAUGUCAAUGAUUUUUUACCUUUUUGGCAAAAAAACUGUGACUUUUUGGCCCUAAAUCUACUUUUUACUAUUGGAAUCAUUAUUUUAAGGAAAUUGAGUAUGGAUGCCCCGAAAUUCACUAACUGGGAUCUACAUACUGGAAUUUUAAUAAUUUAUCGCCUAUUUUUAAUAAAUGGACCCAAAAAGAGGGAAAACGAGUGUGGAUACAUGAAAAUUAACUAAAUCAGGACUGUCUUACUAAAAAUCCAGGAAUUUUGAAUGUUUCUUACUAAUUUAGCACAAGAAUGG